Molecule: RNA transcript, 5538 nt
Organism: Entelurus aequoreus (snake pipefish)
Lineage: Eukaryota; Metazoa; Chordata; Actinopteri; Syngnathiformes; Syngnathidae
Gene name: ras association domain-containing protein 2-like
Exons: 11
Source: RefSeq, a predicted model, not a curated record
GCGAGCGUCUCGUGGACAAAAGGCUCGUGGGGAGACGCGCGCUGAUUGGCUGAUUGGGCGGAGGCGUCUGAGACCUCCGCGGCUACAACAGAUGGACCAGCCCGGGUCCGUGGACCAACAACCGGCCCACAGCCCGAGACGCUGCGCCGCCGACCUCCAAUUUAACGCCGGGCUCGGAGCGACAUUGGCGGGGUAGAGAAACACGAAGACGCCCUUUUCGGUGUUGCCUAAUUAGACCAAGGCGGAAACCACUGAAGCUUCCGACGUCGUCGCAUUUCGUGCCUCUCAUGCUGUCUGGCCAUGGACGACAUACACAACGGGGUUCAGAUCGGAGAGAACAAGUUCAUCAGCAAGGCAACCAUUCUCUCACAUCUAAAGACGUACAACCUUUACUAUGAAGGACAAAAUCUACAGCUCAGACACAGAGAGGAAGAGGGCGAGCUGAUCGUUGAAGGCCUAUUGAACAUCUUUUGGGGCCUGCGUCGUCCAAUCAGGCUUCAGAUGCAGGACGACCAUGAGCGGAUACGACCGCCUCCCUCCUCCACAUCCUGGCACUCAGGUUGCAUUCUGGACAGUCAAGGCUCCCCAAACAGCACAGACAGCCAACAGACGCCACACAUGACUGUGCCCACUUUGGAGGUGACCUCUCCCGACAACCAAUCAGAGAACGGUGUGAUGGAGGAGCACACAGAAGAAGAGGACAGUGAAAACUCAGCUCAGCUCCUCAGAACCAAAAGUGACGCCGGUGUUCUAAGGCGGGUCCACCGGCGCUCCCCGAGCGACCAGAGGAAGAUCCGGCGCCAUCGCUUCUCCAUCAACGGACACUUCUACAACCACAAGACAGCCGUGUUCACUCCUGCUUUUGGCUCUGUGACCAACGUACGCAUCAACAGCUGCAUGACAACUCCUCAGGUGCUACGAGUUCUUCUCAACAAGUUUAAGAUUGAAAACAGCCCCGAUGACUUUGCACUCUACCUCGUUCAUACUAGUGGAGAGCGUGCAAAGCUGAAACGCAGCGACUUCCCACUGGUGUUGAGAAUAAUGCAGGGCCCAUGUGAGCAAGUGUGUAAGCUGUUCCUCAUGGAGGAGGAUCUAGGAGAAGAAGUCACCUAUGAUGUGGCGCAGUAUAUCAAGUUUGAGAUGCCGGUCCUGCAGAGCUUCGUCACCAAGCUGAAAGAAGAGGAGGACAGAGAGGUGCAAAAACUGAGGAGAAGGUACAACAUCCUGCGCUGCAUCAUAGAGAAGCAGCUGGGCUGUCUGCCAGAAGCAGCCUCGUGUAUGUGAACUAGCAACUAUUAUCCGGGGGAACUUUGUAGGUGAAGGUUUACAUUGUGUGUGGACAUUUUACAACACAGUGAUUGUUUUAUGCUAGUUAUUCAUUUUAAGCACAUGCAUUAAGUCAUGCUUUGAGUCAAGUGCCUGAUAAAAACACAACAAGCAAUGAUCACAUGAUCCCUACAUGAAAGUUUUACAUGUAUAAGCACAAAGGUGGGGGGGACACAAAGGCGAUGAGCCUUAAUUAUCUCCCACAAUGCACUGUGUUCCAUGCUUGUGUUAAAUUGGUAACCAAAUGGACUCAAUUGGUUUUACAGCAGACAUAUUAAGCCCUUCGCGGACAUCAGCCCAGCCUGCAUGUUCAGUUCAACACUUGGGAGAGACUAACAUUUAUGCAACAGAGUGCUAAAAACAGCAGAAAACUCCCGACAAAAAGAAAGAUCUGUGACCAGCUUUUUUGCAGUACAUUCCUAAAAACAGCAGUGGGCUGAGAACCGGGGUCAUCUGCAGCGGACAUUUGUGGUUCGCAUAACAGGGACUAUUUCUUCCUGAAGUGUGUAACUCUGACCAAAAACAAAUAUCUACUGCAGAAGAUGCUGAUUUUCAGGACAAUAGAGAAUAUUUUAUUACCAUUUUUGUAGCAGAUUCUUUAAAAACAGAUUGGGGUUCGUCAUAGAAAAUGUUGGACUGGUAGUUUCCUAAUCCUAAAAACAGCUGAGGGCACCUGUCGUAGAGAGCAGUGGUCUCCAACAAUUGGCCCAGGGACCGCGACCGGUCCGUGAUGUAUUUUCUACCGCAUCACACAAACAUUAAAUCAUUUACAGACGACUUAAUUUUCUCUGAAUGAACUUUUGCGUGUCCCACUAGACACCAAUAAUAUCAAAGCUGUAUAAUAAAACUCCUGAUAGGAAGUCACCAUUUGUUAUAUCUUUCUUACAAGGGACAAUGCACAGUAAUGAACAUAUACAAUGUAAAUGUGUGAGAUUGUAGCCAAAAACUAAGCAAUCUGCAGUCCAUAGCAGGUUAAUGGUAUAUAGUGUGUCAACCAUCAACCUGCCAGGGACCAUCUCAUCACAAAGAAAAAAGCCCAGGGCUCCCACUAGCUCUGCGUUAUAGUGAGUUGUAUUUAUCUGCUACGUGUGGAAGGAAGAUCCACAAAAAUAAUACAGACAUUAGACCUGUCCCAGGUGCAAAGGUUGGGGACCACUGAUAGAGAGAAUCUUUGACUUGUGUUUAUUUUUCAGUAAAUUCCUUAAAAACAGUAAAGCGCUCUUAGAAUAUAUGGAACCUUUGACUAACAAUAUUGCAGCAGACUCCUUAAAAACAGCAGAGCGGGCUCGUUUUUACUGCAGUUUCCUUAGAGGGGCAGUUUGCAACCUUUACGCAGACACCUAGAGGGUGACAAAAAGUGUUUUAAGUUUUAUAUCGCGGACUCUUACGUUUUCAGCACAUAACUACGCAUGUCUGUAACACAGCUUUGUGUGCUGUCAGCUAAUGAUAGCCAUCUGGCUCAUUAGCUAUCACUUUUUAAUGAAUAUUCUAUCAUAACUUGACUAUAAAUUGUUAGUUGCUUCUCUGGGACUGCAUGCUCCCUCAUGUAUGUGUGGAUGUGGCAACAGUGAGUGACAAAAGCCUGCACGGCAAACAAAUUCAUCGGACCAACUAGCAGAUUUUAUUUAAUAUAAUUAUUAAUCGUGAAAAACACUUCAAACAUCUAUGUUCUGUCAACCACUACUGGUAACAUAAACUAGCCAGUGGUGUGCUCGUUAUGUUUUUUGGUUUAAAAAGUAUGUAACUGAGGAAGUUGCAAACAGCCCCUUUAAAGAUGGCAGCAUUAGGCAAUGAUAAAAAGGAUUGUCCCUCUACUUAAACAUUGUAGGUUUGAUUCCAGCUGUUAUUUUCCCUUUAUGGCAUCAUACACCUUAUUAAGAAUCAUGGCCACAUUGAGUGAUGUCGUAAAAGUGCUUUGAUGGUCAUAAGGUGGAAAGAGCAUCAAUCAAACAAACAAUUGGAAAAGCACAUUAUCAUGUUGGGUGUUUGGACUGUUGUUUAGUCUGGUACAAAAAGCACAUUAACUUGUGGAAAAGAUGUGAUGCACACAGUUUACACAAUCUCACAUUGUGAGUGGAAGUAGGUCAGCGUGAGUGCGGCGCUGUUGCCAUGUUUGUGUGCGUGCUGUUGAUGAAAUAAUAUUUGCUGACUGAGACACAGGUCAACGAUCAUGUUCAAACUGUUGUCAGUGAUCCUGGGCGUGCUGCUCCUAGCCACGGUGGUACCCACCCCCGAGGCCAGACGUGGUGGAGGCUUUAGAGGGGGAGGUGGAGGCAGCAGACCGGUCUACCGAGCACCACCUCCAAGGAGCAGUGGACCCAGCACCGGUAAAAUAGCUGGAGCAGCGGCAGUGGGGGCCAUCGGAGGAACCAUGCUGGGCUCUGCCCUGAGCCGCCCCGGGUACGGCUACGGUGGAGGAUACGGAGGCUACGGAGGCUAUGGAGGUUAUGGGGGGAUCGGGGGCUUUGGAGGGGGUUACGGCUACCCGAGAGUAGCUGCUGGCCAUGCCUCCAAACCAGCGUAUGAGGCGGAGGGCUCUGGAGAUUUGGAGUACUACACUGGAGCGUCGAGUGGACGCAUCUACAGCAGCAUCAUCGUCCUUAUUGGCACCCUGCUGUCUCUGCUGCUCGGACACUGGUCGGCACUGCCAGCCAUCAUGUGAACAUGCCACUUGAUGCUCUAGCUAUAGAAGCUACACUCAACUGCACCCCCGUGUGGACACAAGGGUGAACUGCUAGAGUGACAUUACAGUAUUAGUACUUCUUAAAUAGCGUGAGGCCGCGUGAGAUCCUCGGGAACAUGCUUCACACCCCGUUUCAACAAGCUGCACUACAAAACUUACUCAAUGUAGCCAUUAAUCCUGACUUACCCAUUAUGAUUUUAAAAAAUCAGCACACAUUUUAUUAUUUUUUAUUAUUUUUGCAGGUUAUAGAAAAUGGAUGCAUGGAUGUUAUAUACUGUAUAUUUUGCUCCUGAGUUUAUUUAAUUAUAAUUAUUAGUAUCAAAGGACUUACGUCGGUCAAAAAAGUUUAUAUAGUUAAAAUAUAUAUUUUUUGAUGCACAUAAAAUAUUUUCUUUUAAACUAAAAAACAAUGUUAUUAAAGUUAUUCUUUGUUGUAAAUUGAUUGAGAUUCAUUUAUUAUUUUUCUUUAGUGUUAAGAAUAAAGUGUUAUGCAGAGAUGUACUUAUCUUAUUUUAUUGAAAAAUGACACGUGUGGGGCAACAGGAAACAAGAAUUACUGCGGUAGAUUCUCACAGCCAAUCUUCAUCUUACUACUUUGUAAUACCAUCAAUAAGAACAAUAACGCCGUGGAGCCGUUGGGAGAGUGGCCGUGCCAGCAACCUGAGGGUUCCUGGUUCGAUCCCCACCUACUACCAACCUCGUCACGUCCGUUGUGUCCUUGAGCAAGACACUUCACACUUGCUCCUGAUGGGUCGUGGUUAGGGCCUUGCAUGGCAGCUCUCGCCUUCAGUGUGUGAACGUGUUUGUGAAUGGGUGAAUGUGGAAAUAGUGUCAAAGCGCUUUGAGUACCUUAAAGGUAGAAAAGCGUUAUACAAAUAUAACCCAUUUAAUAAUAAUAAAUGUAUUACAUAUAUUGGAGUGUUUCUUCCUACGCUAUGUUGACAUUUCCAGCUCAUUUUGUCAUCUAAUAUGACCUCUAAAAUUGUUUUCAUUUCAUUAGCAUCGGUGCUUGUGUCUUUUCAACUAUAAUCAAAUAAAAUGUAACUUUUGCUUAUGACUCCGACAGCAUACUUUAUGUGCAUUUUUAUGUGUGUGUUUUUGUGCAUUUUUACCCGAAAACAUGUAGUCCCGUAAUCUGCAAAUAAUGUUUUUUUUUUGGUUUACAGAGAUGACUUAUCAAUAAUGAAUAAUCAUAUAAACCAGGGAUGUCAAACGUACGACCCGUGGGCUGGAUCUGGCCCGCAAACAGGUUUUAUCCGGCCUGCGAAAUGAGUUUGCUAAAUACAAAAAUUAGCAGUAAUUUUUUUUUUUAUGAAAAAAAUUGCUGUUCUAAAUGUGUCCACUGGAUGUCGCAAUAGCAAUUCUUUGUAUCCGCAGCCACGAGAGCGAGCGUGACUACAUGCUCACGCUGCUUAUUAGUGAUAGUAAACAAAAUGUGGAGAGUAACUUUCAUGCCAUAUUGUCAACGAUGUUGUUGGUAAUGUAACUUGUGACAUUUAUACCCAAAUAAAUGCGUUUAAUAAUCUGUA